AUUGCUUUGCUUAUUGCAUGCUAAUUGCUGAAAAUUGCUUUUUAUUUUAAAUUCCUUAGCUAAAAAUUGCUUUUUCUUUCAUAUUUCUCUGCUUAUUGAAUGACUAUUGCUAACUCAUUAGAUAGAACCUAAUUCUCAUAUAAGUAGGUGGAUGCGGCCUCGAUUAGCGGGGGAACCACAUGUAAAAAAGCGAGCUACUGGGUGUACCUCCUGGGUAGUUUGGAAAUCACCUAAUAUAUAUAUGUAUAUAUUUAUAAAUAAAAGUUAAUAUAUAUAAAUUAACAUUAAUUUUUUUUUAACAGGAAAUGCACAAUGCUAAAAACUGCGUAGGAGAUUUUAAUACAAUAGUACUACCAAGCCUGAUGUUGGCCGCUAUUUCAAUGAAUGCAGCAGUGUGACAGCUAGCAAUCAAAAGUAACAAGAUAUCGAGGAAAUGCAGAUGGCAAUAAACUGUGUAGGAGUUCAUGAUUGCAAUAGAAUAAAAUCGACCAAGCCUGAAGUCAGCAGCCCCUUCAAUGAAUGCAGCAGUGUGACAGCCAGCAAUCAAAAGUUACAAGAUAUCGAGGAAAUGCAGAUGGCAAUAAACUGUGUAAGAGUUCAUGAUUGCGAUAGAAUAAAAUCGACCAAGCCUGAAGUCAGCAGCCCCUUCAAUGAAUGCAGCAGUGUGACAGCCAACAAUCAAAAGUUACAAGAUAUCGAGGAAAUGCAGAAGGCAAAAAACUGCGUAGGAGAUCAUUAAUACAAAAGUAUUAUAUAAACCAAACCUGAUGUUGCCAGCUCCUUCAAUGAAUGCAGCAGUGUGACAGCCAGCAAUCAAAAGUAACAAGAUGUCGAGGAAAUGCAGAAGGCAAAAAACUGCGUAGGAGAUCAUUAAUACAAUAGUAUUAUAUAAACCAAGCCUGAUGUUGGCCGCUCAUUCAAAGAAUGCAGCAGUGUGACAGCCAGCAAUCAAAAGUAACAAGAUGUCGAGGAAAUGCAGAGUGCAAUAAACUGUGUAGGAGAUUAUGAUUGCAAUAGAAUAAAAUCGACCAAGCCUGAAGUCCUUCAAUGCACGCAGCAGUGUGACAGCCAGCAAUUAAAAGUUACAAGAUAUCGAGGAAAUGCAGAAGGCAAAAAACUGCGUAGGAGAUUAUUAAUACAAUAGUAUUAUAUCAACCAAGCCUGAUGUCGGUAGCUUCUUCAAUGAAUGCAGCAGUGUGACAGCCAGCAAUCAAUAGUAACAAGAAUCUAGGAAACACAGAAGGCAAAGAAGCAGAUGUCAUCAAAAAAGAUCUUUGUUCCUGCAAUGUUUCCGCAGACGAUACAUCCAACAGAGCGAAGUGGAAGGAAAAGACUCGGAAAAAAGACCCCACCACCAUAUGGGAACAAUGCAAGGGAGAGAGAGAGAAUAUAAUGUUAUAUUUUUAUUUUUUGAUAACAUAAAAUAAACCAACAAUAUCCUA
Pectinophora gossypiella (pink bollworm) is the source of this 1442-nucleotide long non-coding RNA. RefSeq lists it as uncharacterized. The transcript is spliced from 8 exons. NCBI's taxonomy places the organism in Eukaryota, Metazoa, Arthropoda, Insecta, Lepidoptera, Gelechiidae. The record is from RefSeq and is a predicted model, not a curated record.